AGAGUUUGAUCAUGGCUCAGGAUGAACGCUAGCGGCAGGCCUAAUACAUGCAAGUCGAACGGUAACGGCCGUUUCGGGGGUACACGAGUGGCGGACGGGUGCGUAACGCGUAUGCAACAUACCUUCAAGCGGGGGAUAUGCCAGGGAAACUUGGUGCAACACCCCAUAGCAUUUCGGGACCGCAUGGUCUUGGGAUUAAUAUUUAUAGCUUGGAGAUUGGCAUGCGUGACAUUAGCUAGUUGGCGGGGUAACGGCCCACCAAGGCGACGAUGUCUAGCUGGUCUGAGAGGAUGAUCAGCCACACUGGGACUGAGACACGGCCCAGACUCCUACGGGAGGCAGCAGUAGGGAAUAUUGGACAAUGGGGGAACCCUGAUCCAGCCAUGCCGCGUGAGGGAAGAAGGUCCUCUGGAUUGUAAACCUCUUUUGGCGGGGGACAAACCUGCACUAUACGUGCAGCUGAGGGUACCCGCAGAAUAAGCACCGGCUAACUCCGUG
This 498-nucleotide ribosomal RNA is filed under the name uncultured bacterium. RNAcentral describes it as "bacterial SSU rRNA". It matches the Rfam family "Bacterial small subunit ribosomal RNA", at positions 8 to 507 of the family's 1533-position model. The record is from RNAcentral.